Molecule: ribosomal RNA, 434 nt
Filed under: uncultured bacterium
Lineage: Bacteria
Description: partial 16S ribosomal RNA
Rfam family: Bacterial small subunit ribosomal RNA
Source: RNAcentral
AGCGAACGCUGGCGGCAGGCCUAACACAUGCAAGUCGAACGAACCUUUCGGGGUUAGUGGCGGACGGGUGAGUAACACGUGGGAACGUGCCUUUAGGUUCGGAAUAACUCAGGGAAACUUGUGCUAAUACCGAAUGUGCCCUUCGGGGGAAAGAUUAAUCGCCUUUAGAGCGGCCCGCGUCUGAUUAGCUAGUUGGUUGAGGUAAUGGCUCACCAAGGCGACGAUCAGUAGCUGGUCUGAGAGGAUGAUCAGCCACAUUGGGACUGGGACACGGCCCAAACUCCUACGGGAGGCAGCAGUGGGGAAUCUUGCGCAAUGGGCGAAAGCCUGACGCAGCCAUGCCGCGUGAAUGAUGAAGGUCUUAGGAUUGUAAAAUUCUUUCACCGGGGACGAUAAUGACGGUACCCGGAGAAGAAGCCCCGGCUAACUUCGUG